This 741-nucleotide ribosomal RNA is filed under the name uncultured Candidatus Poseidoniales archaeon. RNAcentral's name for it is "bacterial SSU rRNA". It matches the Rfam family "Archaeal small subunit ribosomal RNA", at positions 102 to 857 of the family's 1478-position model. Lineage: Archaea; Methanobacteriati; Thermoplasmatota; Candidatus Poseidoniia; Candidatus Poseidoniales. The record is from RNAcentral.
GGAUAACCUGCCCUAUCGUCUGGAAUAACCUCGGGAAACUGAGAAUAAGGCCGGAUAGUUCACAAAGCCUGGAACGGUUUGUGAAUCAAGGUAGGAUGGGUCUGCGGCGUAUCAGGUAGUAGGGGGUGUAAAGGACCCCCUAGCCUUCGACGCGUACGGGUGUUGGGAGACAUAGCCCGGAGAUGGAUUCUGAGACACGAAUCCAGACCCUACGGGGUGCAGCAGGCGCGAAAACUUCACACUGCAGGAAACUGUGAUGAGGGAACUCCAAGUGUGUGCACUAUGUGUACACUUUUAUGAACUUUUAAUCGGUUCAGGAAUGAGGGCUGGGAAAGACCGGUGCCAGCCGCCGCGGUAAUACCGGCAGCUCAAGUGGUCGCCGCUUUUAUUGGGCCUAAAACGUCCGUAGCCUGUUUGGUAAAUCUGUGGGUAAAUCAACUCGCUCAACGAGUUGAAUUCUGCAGAGACUGCCAGACUAGGGACCGGGAGAGGUGUGGGGUACUCGAGGGGUAGGGGUAAAAUCCUGUCAUCCUUCGAGGACCACCAGUUGCGAAGGCGCCACACUGGAACGGAUCCGACAGUCAGGGACGAAGCCUAGGGGCACGAACCGGAUUAGAUACCCGGGUAGUCCUAGGUGUAAACGCUGUGAACUUGGUGUCGGGGGUCCGCAAGGGGUCCCCGGUGCCGGAGUGAAGAUGUUAAGUUCACUGCCUGGGGAGUACGGUCGCAAGGCUGAAACUU